This 496-nucleotide ribosomal RNA is filed under the name uncultured bacterium. Its description in RNAcentral is "partial 16S ribosomal RNA". It matches the Rfam family "Bacterial small subunit ribosomal RNA", at positions 28 to 507 of the family's 1533-position model. The record is from RNAcentral.
GACGAACGCUGGCGGCGUGCCUAAUACAUGCAAGUUGAGCGCUGAAGGUUGGUACUUGUACCAACUGGAUGAGCAGCGAACGGGUGAGUAACGCGUGGGGAAUCUGCCUUUGAGCGGGGGACAACAUUUGGAAACGAAUGCUAAUACCGCAUAAAAACUUUAAACACAAGUUUAAAGUUGGAAAGAUGAAUUUGCAUCACUCAAGGAUAAUCCGCGUUGUAUUAGCUAGUUGGUGAGGUAAAGGCUCAACAAGGCGAUGAUACAUAGCCGACCUGAGAGGGUGAUCGGCCACAUUGGGACUGAGACACGGCCCAAACUCCUACGGGAGGCAGCAGUAGGGAAUCUUCGGCAAUGGACGAAAGUCUGACCGAGCAACGCCGCGUGAGUGAAGAAGGUUUUCGGAUCGUAAAACUCUGUUGGUAGAGAAGAACGUUGGUGAGAGUGGAAAGCUCAUCAAGUGACGGUAACUACCCAGAAAGGGACGGCUAACUACGUG